RNAcentral lists this unclassified non-coding RNA (836 nucleotides) under Hevea brasiliensis (rubber tree). Lineage: Eukaryota; Viridiplantae; Streptophyta; Magnoliopsida; Malpighiales; Euphorbiaceae. The record is from RNAcentral.
AAAGACGAAAAUGGUAUCGUCAAGCGACAUGUACAACCAAGCAGAGUGAGAUGCCAAAAAAAUUUAUCCUAGUUAGAGCUGGUAAGGGAGUCACUGCUCGAUAUUUUCGUGCCACUUAGUAUAUAACCACCAAACGCGCUCAUCUGCAUAUGUGGAUGGGUUCUUGAUGGGAGUACCUGAUAUUCACGUAGCCAAGGUUCAGAAAUUUGUAAUCCAAUCGCCAUUUUCUCAAUCUGCAGGUUGUGCAUACACGUAGCUAGGGGCUGAGCAUACUGGUGAUAAACAGCAAAAGGAGCUGAAAAUGAUAAAAGAGGAAGCACUUCUUUAAUAAUGCCCCAUGGGUCCAGUUCCGGAGCAGCAAUUAUUAGGCUGGAAAAACCAUUUUCUUUCCACGACUUGAUGGCCUCGAGGGUUGCUUUCUGACCUGCUUUUAUAGAUUUAACAGGCUUGAUUAUUGGAGAAGAAACUCUCUCAGGUGUUACAUCCAUGCCACCAUCUUCAGCUGGCACACUAACUUCGUCUAGACCACCAGAAUGAGUGACAGGUAAGGUUUCUUCCUGACCCUCAGACACUGAAGCUCCAGUUUGAAAUGAAUUCAGGUCGGUCAGUGAUGCAUGCACGAUUCUUUUACAGAUUUCAUCGCUUAAAUUAAACAUCCUUGUGAUAUCGACAGGAUAUGGUGAUGAUCCACGAUAAGUAUUGCACACAUAACCAGUACCUCCAAGUCGUUCUGCAAUAGCACCAGUAAGAAUACCACUGAGCAUGUCCACUACAAGUACAUCUGCAUUUGCAGUAACAUUCCCCAAGGAGAGCAGUAGAGAUAGUGCAUCCACUCG